CAAGUCGAACGAGAAAGGGUUCGCAAGAACCCGAGUAAAGUGGCGAAAGGGUGAGUAGUACCUAGGUAACCUGCCGUGAAGAUGGGGAAAACGUUUCUAACGGAACGCUAAUACCCAAUGUGUCGGCGAGACCGCAUGGUCAUGCCGGUAAAGGGUAGCCUCUAUUUAUAAGCUUCCGCUUCAUGAGGGGCCUCGGACCUAUCAGUUAGUUGGCGGGGUAACGGCCCACCAAGACUGGGACGGGUAGCCGGUCUGAGAGGAUGGUCGGCCACACUGGAACUGAGACACUGUCCAGACUCCUACGGGAGGCUGCAGUCGAGGAUCUUCUGCAAUGGGCGCAAGCCUGACAGAGCGACGCCGCGUGGGGGAGGAAGGCCUUCGGGUUGUAAACCCCUGUUGCCGGUUAAGAAUGUCGGGGUGCAAAUAGCGCUACCGAUUGACUAAGGCCGGUGAGGAAGCCACGGCUAACUACGUGCCAGCAGCCGCGGUAAGACGUAGGUGGCGAGCGUUGUUCGGAAUCACUGGGCAUAAAGCGCACGUAGGCGGCCAUAUAAGUCGGGUGUGAAAGCCCUCGGCUCAACCGAGGAACUGCGCCCGAUACUGCAUGGCUUGAGGUCCGGAGGGGAGAGUGGAAUUCCCGGUGGAGCGGUGAAAUGCGUAGAGAUCGGGAAGAACGCCGGCGGCGAAAGCGACUCUCUGGUCGGAAUCUGACGCUGAGGUGCGAAAGCUAGGGGAGCAAACGGGAUUAGAUACCCCGGUAGUCCUAGCCAUAAACGAUGGGCACUAGGUACUGGUCGUUUCUAUGCGGUCAGUGCUGGAGCAAAUGUCUUAAGUGCCCCGCCUGGGAAGUACGGUCGCAAGACUAAAACUCAAAGGAAUUGACGGGGGCUCACACAA
This 897-nucleotide ribosomal RNA is filed under the name uncultured Bacillota bacterium. RNAcentral's name for it is "bacterial SSU rRNA". It matches the Rfam family "Bacterial small subunit ribosomal RNA", at positions 58 to 928 of the family's 1533-position model. Lineage: Bacteria; Bacillati; Bacillota. The record is from RNAcentral.